GAGGGAUCAUUACACAAAUAUGAAGGCGGGCUGGAACCUCUCGGGGUUACAGCCUUGCUGAAUUAUUCACCCUUGUCUUUUGCGUACUUCUUGUUUCCUUGGUGGGUUCGCCCACCACUAGGACAAACAUAAACCUUUUGUAAUUGCAAUCAGCGUCAGUAACAAAUUAAUAAUUACAACUUUCAACAACGGAUCUCUUGGUUCUGGCAUCGAUGAAGAACGCAGCGAAAUGCGAUAAGUAGUGUGAAUUGCAGAAUUCAGUGAAUCAUCGAAUCUUUGAACGCACAUUGCGCCCUUUGGUAUUCCAAAGGGCAUGCCUGUUCGAGCGUCAUUUGUACCCUCAAGCUUUGCUUGGUGUUGGGCGUCUUGUCUCUAGCUUUGCUGGAGACUCGCCUUAAAGUAAUUGGCAGCCGGCCUACUGGUUUCGGAGCGCAGCACAAGUCGCACUCUCUAUCAGCAAAGGUCUAGCAUCCAUUAAGCCUUUUUUCAACUUUUGACCUCGGAUCAGGUAGGGAUACCCGCUGA
This 525-nucleotide ribosomal RNA is filed under the name uncultured Alternaria. RNAcentral's name for it is "eukaryotic LSU rRNA". The stretch from base 178 to 331 matches the Rfam family "5.8S ribosomal RNA". The record is from RNAcentral. Lineage: Eukaryota; Fungi; Ascomycota; Dothideomycetes; Pleosporales; Pleosporaceae.